AUUGAACGCUGGCGGCAUGCCUUACACAUGCAAGUCGAACGGCAGCACGGGUGCUUGCACCUGGUGGCGAGUGGCGAACGGGUGAGUAAUACAUCGGAACGUACCUUAUCGUGGGGGAUAACGCAGCGAAAGUUGCGCUAAUACCGCAUACGCCCUGAGGGGGAAAGCGGGGGACCGUAAGGCCUCGCGCGAUUAGAGCGGCCGAUGUCUGAUUAGCUUGUUGGUGAGGUAAAAGCUCACCAAGGCGAUGAUCAGUAGCUGGUCUGAGAGGACGAUCAGCCACACUGGGACUGAGACACGGCCCAGACUCCUACGGGAGGCAGCAGUGGGGAAUUUUGGACAAUGGGGGCAACCCUGAUCCAGCAAUGCCGCGUGAGUGAAGAAGGCCUUCGGGUUGUAAAGCUCUUUUGUCAGGGAAGAAACAGCAGCUCUAACACAGACUGCGAAUGACGGUAC
Molecule: ribosomal RNA, 456 nt
Filed under: Polynucleobacter sp. Fw70-50
Lineage: Bacteria; Pseudomonadati; Pseudomonadota; Betaproteobacteria; Burkholderiales; Burkholderiaceae
Description: bacterial SSU rRNA
Rfam family: Bacterial small subunit ribosomal RNA
Source: RNAcentral